Molecule: non-coding RNA, 307 nt
Organism: Pelobates cultripes (western spadefoot toad)
Lineage: Eukaryota; Metazoa; Chordata; Amphibia; Anura; Pelobatidae
Source: the annotation of a GenBank genome assembly
CUUGAUGUAGCAUGUACGCACCUGGGUGCAGACUCCGUAACGAGAUUGCUUGGACCUCCAAACUGGGAAAAACUAACCACAAAUUAGUUUUGCAUCAAGGACUAUUAAAUGGACAUACAUCACUUUUUGACAUUUGUCUCAUUCAAAAGCUAUAGCUCUGAAUGAGGCAUUUCUCUCACUCUGCAGGCUGAAAACAGAAUGCAAUAAUCACCUGAUUCUUCUUUCUUUUUCUUCCCACACCCCCUGUGGGGAGGACUCUGAUCUAACCAAUCAGUUUCCAAUCCUCAGGAAUGCUGGAAGAGUGCAU